RNAcentral lists this ribosomal RNA (217 nucleotides) under uncultured Rhodocyclaceae bacterium. RNAcentral describes it as "partial 16S ribosomal RNA". It matches the Rfam family "Bacterial small subunit ribosomal RNA", at positions 335 to 546 of the family's 1533-position model. The record is from RNAcentral. Lineage: Bacteria; Pseudomonadati; Pseudomonadota; Betaproteobacteria; Rhodocyclales; Rhodocyclaceae.
ACUCUUACGGGAGGCAGCAGUGGGGAAUUUUGGACAAUGGGCGCAAGCCUGAUCCAGCCAUGCCGCGUGAGUGAAGAAGGCCUUCGGGUUGUAAAGCUCUUCGUCCGGAAAGAAAUCGUGCUAGGUAAUACUGUGCGCGGAUGACGUACCGUCAUAAGAAGCACCGGCUAACUACGUGCCAGCAGCCGCGGUAAUACGUAGGGUGCGAGCGUUAAUC